This 345-nucleotide ribosomal RNA is filed under the name Amblyomma longirostre. RNAcentral describes it as "partial 16S ribosomal RNA". The record is from RNAcentral. Lineage: Eukaryota; Metazoa; Arthropoda; Arachnida; Ixodida; Ixodidae.
UAAGAUUUUAAUUGAAUGCUAAGAGAAUGGAUUAACAAAAAAUGACUUUUUUAAAUUCAAUAAUUGAAUUUAUUUUUAUUUGUGAGGAAACAAUAAUAUAUAUUAAGGACAAGAAGACCCUAAGAAUUUUAAAAGAAUUAAUAUUUGAAUCAAAAUUUAUGUCUUUUUAAUUGGGGCGAUUAAGAAAUAUAAAUAACUUUCUUUACAAUAUCAAGAUGAACCGUUAAUAGCGGUAAUAUGAUAAAAAUACUCUAGGGAUAACAGCGUAAUAAUUUUUGAUAGUUCAUAUAGACAAAAUAGUUUGCGACCUCGAUGUUGGAUUAGGAUACUUGUUUAAUGAAGAAG